GAAAAAUCAAGAUUAAACCAAUUUUAUUGACAUUGUCUAGUAUUCAUUGGAGAUGGCUAAGCUUACCUUAACGAAUAUUUUCGCCCUUUUCCUUUUGUUUUCUGGUUUGUUCUAGAUAGUGUCACAGUAUCUACUUUCUUCAUAUUUAUCUAUGUAUGGUUUGCAAAAUUAUAAAUGUUUAAUCAGCUAUGCUAUUUGUAUAAUUGAUGAGACACUUCAGUUUUUAUAUAUAUCAAAUAAUAAUAUCGAUACUUUGUUUUAUAAAAGGAAAUGUCUUGUGAGAUAUUAAAUUAAACUUUUGAUUCCCUUAAGCAAGAACCCGGGUAAGUGGUACAUGCUUGAUUCCCCUUAAGCAAGACUUGGGUUCAAGUCUUGUGGAUAGAAAAAAUGCUCGUUGAGAGAGUUAGCCCUACGUACCUGUGGAUAUUCCCGGCUCGGACAUGAUUACCUCCAGCGCGAGGAUACAUGUGGGAAACAAAAAAAUUUAAACUUUUGAUGAGAGUUACCAUGUCUAAUUGCAUGAGAACAAUUUUUUAUAAUUUUAAUUACUUGUUUCUUAGUUUUUCAUUUCAGUGUUCUUGAGUUUCAGGUAUUUUAAUGACAAGUAGUGAAGCAAAAAGAUGUGAAGAAAAUGUAUCUGUAUGGAUAUGCGAUAUUAAAGUAUGUAAAGAGCAAUGUAAAGCUACUGGUAAUAGGUUAAAACGUAAUAAUCCUGAUGGAAUAUGCAAACGCGGAAAAUUUGAUGGCAUCAAUUGUUUUUGUGUCUAUGAUUGUUGAUCUACUUGUACCUUUCUU
RNAcentral lists this long non-coding RNA (795 nucleotides) under Lupinus angustifolius (narrow-leaved blue lupine). RNAcentral's name for it is "long non-coding RNA (LANG_LNC001314)". Lineage: Eukaryota; Viridiplantae; Streptophyta; Magnoliopsida; Fabales; Fabaceae. The record is from RNAcentral.